RNAcentral lists this ribosomal RNA (264 nucleotides) under uncultured bacterium. RNAcentral's name for it is "partial 16S ribosomal RNA". It matches the Rfam family "Bacterial small subunit ribosomal RNA", at positions 28 to 287 of the family's 1533-position model. The record is from RNAcentral.
GAUGAACGCUAGCGGCAGGCCUAACACAUGCAAGUCGAGGGGUAACAGAGAGAAGCUUGCUUCUUUGCUGACGACCGGCGCACGGGUGCGUAACGCGUAUACAAUCUACCUUACACUGGGGGAUAGCCUUUAGAAAUGAAGAUUAAUACCCCAUAGUAUUAUUGAGUCGCCUGAUUUAAUAAUUAAAGGUUACGGUGUAAGAUGAGUAUGCGUUCUAUUAGCUAGAUGGUGUGGUAACGGCACACCAUGGCAACGAUAGAUAGG